Molecule: ribosomal RNA, 465 nt
Filed under: uncultured bacterium
Lineage: Bacteria
Description: bacterial SSU rRNA
Rfam family: Bacterial small subunit ribosomal RNA
Source: RNAcentral
CCAGACUCCUACGGGAGGCAGCAGUGAGGAAUAUUGGUCAAUGGGCGGAAGCCUGAACCAGCCAAGUCGCGUGAGGGAAUAAGGCCCUACGGGUCGUAAACCUCUUUUGUCGGGGAGCAAAGCGAACCACGUGUGGUUCAUUGAGAGUACCCGAAGAAAAAGCAUCGGCUAACUCCGUGCCAGCAGCCGCGGUAAUACGGAGGAUGCGAGCGUUAUCCGGAUUUAUUGGGUUUAAAGGGUGCGCAGGCGGAAUGUCAAGUCAGCGGUAAAAUUUCGGGGCUCAACCCCGUCGUGCCGUUGAAACUGGCGUUCUUGAGUGAGCGAGAAGUAUGCGGAAUGCGUGGUGUAGCGGUGAAAUGCAUAGAUAUCGCGCAGAACUCCGAUUGCGAAGGCAGCAUGCCGGCUCCACACUGACGCUGAGGCACGAAAGCGUGGGUAUCGAACAGGAUUAGAUACCCCAGUAAU